Molecule: ribosomal RNA, 894 nt
Filed under: uncultured bacterium
Lineage: Bacteria
Description: bacterial SSU rRNA
Rfam family: Bacterial small subunit ribosomal RNA
Source: RNAcentral
AGAGUUUGAUCCUGGCUCAGGAUCAACGCUGGCGGCGCGCUUAACACAUGCAAGUCGAACGCGAAAGCCUGACUUCGGUUGGGCAAGUAGAGUGGCAAACGGGUGAGUAACACGUGGAUAACCUACCCUCGAGUGGGGAAUAACCCCGGGAAACUGGGGCUAAUACCGCAUACGAUCCAUCGGACUAAGUCCGGUGGCUGAAAGCCUUCGGGCGCUGGAGGAGGGGUCCGCGGCCGAUUAGCUAGUUGGCGGGGUAAAAGCCCACCAAGGCACAGAUCGGUAGCCGGCCUGAGAGGGCGCACGGCCACACUGGCACUGAGACACGGGCCAGACUCCUACGGGAGGCAGCAGUGGGGAAUCUUGGACAAUGGGCGAGAGCCUGAUCCAGCGACGCCGCGUGACUGAUGAAGCCUUUCGGGGUGCAAAAGUCUUUCGGCAGGGACAAUAAUGAUGGUACCUGCAGAAGCAGCUGCGGCUAACUACGUGCCAGCAGCCGCGGUAAUACGUAGGCAGCUAGCGUUGUUCGGAAUUACUGGGCGUAAAGCGAGUGUAGGCGGUUUGCCAAGUCCGUUGUGAAAUCUCCCGGCUCAACUGGGAGGGUGCGGCGGAAACUGGCAGGCUAGAGUGCGGAAUGGGAGAGUGGAAUUCCUGGUGUAGCGGUGAAAUGCGUAGAUAUCAGGAGGAACACCGGUGGUGAAGACGGCUCUCUGGACCGCUACUGACGCUGAGACUCGAAAGCGUGGGGAGCAAACAGGAUUAGAUACCCUGGUAGUCCACGCCCUAAACGAUGCAUACUUGGUGUGGGCUCUUCACUGAGUCCGUGCCGGAGCUAACGCGUUAAGUAUGCCGCCUGGGGAGUACGGUCGCAAGGCUGAAACUCAAAUGAAUUGACCG